GUAUGCACCACAGCCGAUAUCUGGACCUCGCGAAGUCGCCGAUUUCUCGGUGUAACGGCUCAUUGGAUCGAUAACGCGACUUUAACGCGACAAUCCUUCGCCAUCGCGUGUCAGAGAUUCCCAGGAUCUCAUACAGCAGAAAGGAUUGCGGAGGUUUUAUUGGAUAUAAAUGAAUCUUUUGGAUUAAACACGGAAAAGGUCGUUGCAACUGUUACCGACAAUGGCUCAAAUUUCGCGAAGGCUUUCCGUGAAUUUGGUGUCAAUUCGCUGGACAGUUUCUUGCUUGAUGAGAAUUCAAACGAUGAUGAAGCAUGGAGGACUAUCUCUCGAACAGCCGAAUUAACCUCCGAUAACGUCGAGAAUCAUAGUCUCGAACAUGAUCGUGCCGUACCUGAACAGUCUGAGUCAU
Molecule: long non-coding RNA, 409 nt
Organism: Venturia canescens
Lineage: Eukaryota; Metazoa; Arthropoda; Insecta; Hymenoptera; Ichneumonidae
Exons: 3
Source: RefSeq, a predicted model, not a curated record